RNA transcript from Hemicordylus capensis (graceful crag lizard), 4929 nucleotides. It is a transcript of the gene named aminopeptidase O (putative), with no coding region annotated. NCBI's taxonomy places the organism in Eukaryota, Metazoa, Chordata, Lepidosauria, Squamata, Cordylidae. The record is from RefSeq and is a predicted model, not a curated record. The transcript is spliced from 17 exons.
GCCUGAUGCCAUGACGUCAUUGGAAGCUGCUUCCGCCACCGAAGCCGAUAGGAGAGUACAAAUAAAAAAGCCAAACCAAAAUCGUUGGUGGUGGGUCAGGGUAAGAGACAAGUGAUGAUGCUACAGCUCAUUAUAUUGGAAAUGCAUUAUUGUAUGGAACAGCUAUAUAUGAAAACAGUAAAACUUAGCAAACAAGAAGAUUGAAAAACAAACAUAAAAUCCAAAUGGUGGAAGUGAUUGGAUAGAAGAUUGGCAUACAAAGAUGGAUCUAGACCUUACCAAAGAUAAUUUGCCCCUAAUGGCCAAUACUAGCCACAUGCUGGUAAGGCAUUAUGUAUUGGACCUGGAUGUAGACUUUAAAAGCCAAGUUAUUGGGGGCACAAUCGUUCUGUUCUUUGAAACUGGCAGCACAUACGGAAAACAAGACAGCAAGCUGGUGGAAGGAGCCUGUCAUUCUUGGGCAGGUGAAACCUGCCACGUCUGGGCACCUGAAGCCUCUUCCGUUCCUGUGCCAAAUGCAAGCGCCUGCUCAACUAAAAGUGGAUGUAAUGAUUUUGCUGUCUGUGGUAAAGGUGAAAAUGAUACUUCUGAUAAAAACGGUAGCCAUGGCAACGGGGAACAGGCUUCUGGGAUUUCUAGUUCAAAGAACUGCUGUGACAUUGAGAUUCAUGGGAGUGAAGAUUUUUUGCUAGUCCUGGACUGCUGUGAUUUAUCUAUAUUAAAGGUCGAAGAGGUAGAUGUAGCUGUUGUUCCGGGCAUUGAGAAAUUUACAAGCUCUGCCAAGUUAAUAAGUGCUUCUGAGGAUCCAGGGGAUCUUAGGAAUAAAAUUGUGCAUGAACUUGUGACAUUAUCUUCAGAUCAUUGGAGGGAGCAACUCCACUAUUACAGGCGUUGCAGUCAGGCACCUGCUUGUGGGGAUCUGCUGUUUGUUACUGGCACUUGGAGCUUGGAGAUCAGGAAAGCAGGAGUCCAGCUGCCAAGAGACUUCCCUCAUGCCAUAAGGAUAUGGUUCAAAACAAAGCCAGAAGGAAAAUCCCUUAGCUGGACUACAGACCAGACCAACAGGCCAUGUGUUUACACAGUAGGGUCUCCAAUAAACAACAGGGCCCUUUUCCCAUGUCAAGAACCUCCUGUUGCCAUGUCAACAUGGCAAGCUACAGUCCAAGCAGAUGCAUGCUUUGUUGUUUUAAUGAGUGGUGAAAAUGCAGCGGAACCAACAGAAUCUAAGCAAGGGGGAUUAAAUUGGUUUUAUUAUGUGACCAUGCCAAUGCCAGCAUCCACUUUCACUAUUGCUGUUGGAUGCUGGGAAGAAGUUAAAGGAGAAACUUGCACAACUGAUGUUCAGAGGAGUGAUGGAUAUGUUCCACAGUUCUCCAAGGCAGAUGUCAGGUUGUUUGAACAGGCUUGUGGUCACUUGCCAUAUCCUUGCCGUUUCCAAGAUUCUGCUGCUGCUGUUGAGGUGGUCAUUCCUUACCGGGUCUUUGCUCCAUUGUGCCUUUGGGAAUCCUGUGUAGAAGUUCUACUGCAGCUGGUUCCUCAGUGCCUCUCAGCUGCUUAUACUUUGCUGGGCACUCAUCCUUUUCCCAGGCUUGAUGUCUUGAUUGUUCCAGCCAACUUUUCCAGUCUUGGAAUGGCCAGCCCGCACAUCAUCUUCCUGUCACAGAGCACAUUAUCUGGAGGGAACCACCUCUGUGGAACACGCCUAUGCCAUGAAAUUGCUCACGCCUGGUUUGGCUUGGCCAUUGGUGCACGUGACUGGACUGAAGAGUGGCUAAGCGAAGGAUUUGCCACUCACCUAGAGAAUGCAUUUUGGUCAGCAGCACAACAGCUGCCAGCUGGUGAAGCAAAAGAGCAACAGGAUCUGAAAGCCUUGCUGCGCUGGCAGCGGCUUAAGGAUGAGCUGCAGAACACUGAAGAAAAUCUGCAAAUUUUAAGGCCCAACAAAGAGAACACUGGCAAAGUGAGUGAAUCUGGAGCAUCUGUCAUCAAACAUGGUCUUAAUGCAGAAAAAAUCUUCAUGCAGGUUCACUAUCUGAAGGGUUAUUUUCUUCUGCGGUCUCUGGCUGAGAAGGUUGGAGAAGCUACAUAUUUUGCCUUUUUAAGAAAGUUUGUGCGGGCCUUUCAUGGACAGUUGAUACUCUCUCAGGACUUUCUUCACUUACUGCUGGAGGACAUCCCAGAGCUAAAAGGGUAUGGCCUAUCGGUUGAAAACAUCUUCCAGAAGUGGCUUGACUGUUCAGGAAUCCCAAAGCCUUUGCUGGAAGAGAGUCAGGCUUGGCAGGAGUGUCGACUAGCCCAGCAAGUGAAUGAGGAGGUCGUAAAAUGGAUUCAAGUAAAUCAGAGAGCCAGAAAAAGCAGCAAAAGGAAAAGACGAUGCGAAGAAGCCACUUUCGAAAAGCUUCUCCCGGACCAGCUGGUCUUACUUCUGGAACGGCUCUUGGAGAAGAAGACGUUAUGUGCAAAAACGUUGGAGUGCUUACUGAAAACUUACCACCUCCGUGAGCAGGAUGUCGAGGUUCAGCAUCGAUGGUGUGAACUAGUUAUUAAACACAAAUACACAGCAGCAUAUGCUGACAUUGAGAGAUUCCUCAAGGAAGACCAGGCAAUGGGUGUCUAUCUAUAUGGAGAACUUAUGGUGAAUGAGGAUGCCAAACAGCAAGAACUUGCAUAUAAAACUUUUGCUGCCACCCGUGACCAAAUGGAUGCAUCCUCAGCUAAAGUAGUGGCAGAGAUGUUAUUUUGAUGAGAUGACUCUUCCCCCCGCCCCCACACACCGGAUAGUUGAAUCCUCUGCCUACCUUUUAGGAAAGCAAUAUACUGGAUUACAACAGAUGAAGACACCCUGGGAAAGAAGGAUCCUUUCUCCAGUCAAGAAUGAAAAGAAUCCACAUGGGAAACAGCAAUGUUUGGCUACAGUAAUCAAUUGUGAAACAGUAUACAAUGCCUUUUUUUGGGGGGGGGGACACUUAGAGGUGAUUAUAAUGUUACAUGCAUUGCGUUUUAUAACAGAUUUGUCACUCUUACAAUGAGAGGAGCCCUGAUGUGUCUGUAGUUGCCGUUUAAGCAGCAUAUAUUGUUCAUAAUAAUAAAUGGCUGUUUUUUUACUAGAGCUGCCCCUUUGCAGCAGUUGCUGUUCCCGGCUGUUGAUGGACCCGUCCUCCGGUGCCUACUGAGCUGAUAUCAGUUCUGAUUUUACACACUGGCUCAGUUCAGCAGGAACAGGAGUCGAGCCCUAACGCAAAGAGUCUUUUCUAAAUGCACAGACGUCCAUGAAAGCCCAACUCGUUACUUCUUGCCUGCAACCAGAGAUAGAACAGACUGGUGUGGAUCACAAAUCCUUACAUGGUGGACUACAUCCCAUGGUAUUGUGGAAGUAGCUUUGCCAGUGGGUAGGUGAAGUGCUGAGGUAUGUGUAGGCUGUGUCCAAGGAUGAUCACUGAAGGUGAAAAUGAAACACAGUCACAUCCUGAGGGCUUCAUUCCAGCACUCAGCCUACUGGUCACUAUUUUCAGAAAUAGUGCUACAUUGCAAAGGAGAGGCUGUAUUGGAUUACUUUUUUAUUUUCCAAUUAAGUGUUGUCUUAAGCUGGUCAGAUUUAUCAUAAUACCUCUCCCCCCCACACCACCCACCCACUCCAGUGUGACUUUUCUUCUAUAUUGUGGAAAGCUAAGCUACUGUCUUCUCAGAUUUACAGACAACCUUCUGAUAGAGCAUGUGACAUUCACAUGAAUAUCAAGUACCAGUUGUUACUCUGUUACAUCUGUUGUGGUAGAUUCUCUCUCCUGCAUGCAUUCAAGGAAAAUUAGACUGACCGAGCUGCCUUCUUUCAAGAAGUAGGACAGUAAAGAAAAGCCACCGUCUCCUUUAUUUUUUUUACAGGCAUUCCUUCAUUGUGACAGAAUAAUAUGUUUUACCACCGUUUCCCUUGUAGGAAAGAUCAGAGACUUUAAAUAUAUCUACUACGAAACCCUGGUGGUACUAGGAUUUCAAUGACCCUGGACAUCAAAGGAAGGAUUAUGUGACUGCUAAAACAAUCCGCUGACAAACUUUUUUUACUUCAUUGCUUAUCUUUUCCAGAGGGCUAUCUAUGGCAAUCAAGCAGAAAAAGGUGGUGGUAGGGAACCUAUACCCUUAACCCCCACAACCAUUUGUGGCUCCAGCUCACUGCUGAGCACAAGCCACUUGAUGACAUUUACUGUUAGUAAAAAUUUACGGCGUUGAGGUUUGGUCAGUACUGUAUUGCAGAUGGUAGAUUAGGCCCAAAAAAUUCACCAGAAAGCGCUGUGAAACCUUGUAUUGUGCUAGUUCUAGUACAAUAAACAGUGGUAAUAGAAGUCUGCUGUAGGAUUUAAAAGCUGUAGGCUAUCCUAAGCUGGUUAUGGAAAAUCAUUCUUUACCAGUCUGAGGGGGCACCUUUCGAAAGUGGCGAUUCUCUUAUAUAGAGGAGAGGGAGAGUCCCAGCACAGCAUCCUUCCAGUGACUGUCGCUGAUAUCUGCCUUUUAUUUUUUAGAUCAUGAGCUGUUUGGGGAGAUGGGACCAUUUCAUUUAUGUAUAUCUCUCUCCCUCCCACCCACCCCAGUGUGUGGUGUAUAACUAUUCAUAGUUGCUGCAGCAGCAGCAGCAUACUGGUGGUUAUCUUUAUCAUGAUGUUUAGUACACCCAUGGACCAAAAUAACAAGCCUGGAAAUUAACCUGGGGCUAUUCUUAGGGAUACAAACAAAAUGAAGGUUGCAGUAACAUGUUUUUAUCAGGGCCCUGUGCCACAGACAACUACUUGUAAUACGAGCACAUUGAUAUAAAGAACUCCUAUGUGAAACAUGGCUCUUCUUUCUAUGUGUUGCUCAGUGAAACAUGGAUAGUUGGGUAGUUCCGUUGUGUAAAGCACUGGCACUGAUCCGCCCACCCCCCAAAUAAAGUAUUUGUGUAAA